This 86-nucleotide transfer RNA is filed under the name Candidatus Uhrbacteria bacterium RIFOXYC2_FULL_47_19. RNAcentral describes it as "tRNA-Leu". It matches the Rfam family "tRNA". Rfam says of the family: Transfer RNA (tRNA) molecules are approximately 80 nucleotides in length. The record is from RNAcentral. Lineage: Bacteria; Candidatus Uhriibacteriota.
GCCCGGAUGGUGGAAUGGUAUACACGGAGGACUUAAAAUCCUCUGGCCGCAAGGCCUUGCCGGUUCGAGUCCGGCUCCGGGUACCA